Molecule: ribosomal RNA, 497 nt
Filed under: uncultured bacterium
Lineage: Bacteria
Description: partial 16S ribosomal RNA
Rfam family: Bacterial small subunit ribosomal RNA
Source: RNAcentral
GAUGAACGCUGGCGGCGUGCCUAAUACAUGCAAGUAGAACGCUGAAGGAAGGAGCUUGCUCUUUCCGGAUGAGUUGCGAACGGGUGAGUAACGCGUAGGUAACCUGCCUGGUAGCGGGGGAUAACUAUUGGAAACGAUAGCUAAUACCGCAUAACAGUAGAUGUUGCAUGAUAUCUACUUAAAAGGUGCAAUUGCACCACUACCAGAUGGACCUGCGUUGUAUUAGCUAGUUGGUGAGGUAACGGCUCACCAAGGCGACGAUACAUAGCCGACCUGAGAGGGUGAUCGGCCACACUGGGACUGAGACACGGCCCAGACUCCUGCGGGAGGCAGCAGUAGGGAAUCUUCGGCAAUGGACGGAAGUCUGACCGAGCAACGCCGCGUGAGCGAAGAAGGUUUUCGGAUCGUAAAGCUCUGUUGUAAGAGAAGAACGAGUGUGAGAGUGGAAAGUUCACACUGUGACGGUAUCUGACCAGAAAGGGACGGCUAACUACGUG